AGCGAACGCUGGCGGCAGGCCUAACACAUGCAAGUCGAACGAACCUUUCGGGGUUAGUGGCGGAAGGGUGAGUAACACGUGGGAACGUGCCUUUAGGUUCGGAAUAACUCAGGGAAACUUGUGCUAAUACCGAAUGUGCCCUUCGGGGGAACAAUUAAUCUCCUUUAGAGCGGCCCGCGUCUGAUUAGCUAGUUGGUUGAGGUAAUGGCUCACCAAGGCGACGAUCAGUAGCUGGUCUGAGAGGAUGACCAGCCACAUUGGGACUGAGACACGGCCCAAACUCCUACGGGAGGCAGCAGUGGGGAAUCUUGCGCAAUGGGCGAGAGCCUGACGCAGCCAUGCCGCGUGAAUGAGUAAGGUCUGAGGAUUGUAAAAUUCUUUCACCGGGGACGAUAAUGACGGUACCCGGAGAAGAAGCCCCGGCUAACUUCGUG
This 434-nucleotide ribosomal RNA is filed under the name uncultured bacterium. RNAcentral's name for it is "partial 16S ribosomal RNA". It matches the Rfam family "Bacterial small subunit ribosomal RNA", at positions 29 to 507 of the family's 1533-position model. The record is from RNAcentral.